This 497-nucleotide ribosomal RNA is filed under the name uncultured bacterium. Its description in RNAcentral is "partial 16S ribosomal RNA". It matches the Rfam family "Bacterial small subunit ribosomal RNA", at positions 28 to 507 of the family's 1533-position model. The record is from RNAcentral.
GAUGAACGCUGGCGGCGUGCCUAAUACAUGCAAGUCGAGCGAACAGACGAGGAGCUUGCUCCUCUGACGUUAGCGGCGGACGGGUGAGUAACACGUGGAUAACCUACCUAUAAGACUGGGAUAACUUCGGGAAACCGGAGCUAAUACCGGAUAAUAUAUUGAACCGCAUGGUUCAAUAGUGGAAGACGGUUUUGCUGUCACUUAUAGAUGGAUCCGCGCCGCAUUAGCUAGUUGGUAAGGUAACGGCUUACCAAGGCAACGAUGCGUAGCCGACCUGAGAGGGUGAUCGGCCACACUGGAACUGAGACACGGUCCAGACUCCAACGGGAGGCAGCAGUAGGGAAUCUUCCGCAAUGGGCGAAAGCCUGACGGAGCAACGCCGCGUGAGUGAUGAAGGUCUUCGGAUCGUAAAACUCUGUUAUUAGGGAAGAACAAAUGUGUAAGUAACUAUGCACGUCUUGACGGUACCUAAUCAGAAAGCCACGGCUAACUACGUG